This is a long non-coding RNA of Artibeus jamaicensis (Jamaican fruit-eating bat), 606 nucleotides long. RefSeq lists it as uncharacterized. The transcript has 3 exons. The record is from RefSeq and is a predicted model, not a curated record. Lineage: Eukaryota; Metazoa; Chordata; Mammalia; Chiroptera; Phyllostomidae.
GUAGUUACAGGGCCGCGAAGAUCGGGCAGAUCUCCCUUGGUUUGGUGUUUCCAGGUCGAAACUGAAGCUCUGAGUUCACGUUCUUGCUCCGGGAAACUCGAGAGUCGCUACUGGCGUUGAAAUACUCCCCGCGGCGCCUCGCUUGACGGGUAGAGCACACACACAGUCCCCACCUCUCCCAGACAACCACAAAUUAUGCAGUCGGGUUUCCCAUAUUUGGGGAAAUCACAAGGGUCAGCACAUCUGGAGUGCAAUGGAUAAGGCUCAUCCUGAGAAAACUACCUUUGUGAUCAUAGUGUCUCCCCUGUCAGACUAACGCGCAGCGUUCACUUAACGGAGCCUCCCCAAGACGCCGGGCUCACCGCGGCAGGAGCCUCGCAGCGACUUCAUAGCCUUCGGAGACCCGCAGGCUUCACGUGCGUAGGAAAGAGGACUGAGACAAUCAGGCUUCAACUGGUAAUGCGAAAACCUGGAAGGACUGCGUGCCUUCCCCUACUCCGCAGUAGUACGUUUCUGUAAGAAUCUGCGCAUGCUCCUCACCUCAGUUCUGUAAGAAUCUGCGCAUGCUCCUCACCUCAGUAGAUGGGAGAUUUUACUCAGUGCUGA